RNAcentral lists this ribosomal RNA (253 nucleotides) under uncultured bacterium. RNAcentral describes it as "partial 16S ribosomal RNA". It matches the Rfam family "Bacterial small subunit ribosomal RNA", at positions 524 to 776 of the family's 1533-position model. The record is from RNAcentral.
UACGAAGGGGGCUAGCGUUGUUCGGAAUCACUGGGCGUAAAGGGCGCGUAGGCGGCCGAUCAAGUCGGGGGUGAAAGCCUGUGGCUCAACCACAGAAUUGCCUUCGAUACUGUUUGGCUUGAGACCGGAAGAGGUUAGUGGAACUGCGAGUGUAGAGGUGAAAUGCGUAGAUAUUCGCAAGAACACCAGUGGCGAAGGCGGCUGACUGGUCCGGUUCUGACGCUGAGGCGCGAAAGCGUGGGGAGCAAACAGG